GAAAUGCGAUAAGUAGUGUGAAUUGCAGAAUUCAGUGAAUCAUCGAAUCUUUGAACGCACAUUGCGCCCCUUGGUAUUCCAUGGGGCAUGCCUGUUCGAGCGUCAUCUACACCCUCAAGCACUGCUUGGUGUUGGGCGUCUGUCCCGCCUUUGCGCGUGGACUCGCCCCAAAGUCAUUGGCAGCGGUCUCUGGCACCUCAACGCGCAGUACAAUGCGUCCGUCGGGGUGCCGUGGGCGCGACCACAAGCUAUUUACCGUCUUUGACCUCGGAUCAGGUAGGGAUACCCGCUGAACUUAA
This 299-nucleotide unclassified non-coding RNA is filed under the name uncultured fungus. Its description in RNAcentral is "sequence contains ITS1". The stretch from base 1 to 105 matches the Rfam family "5.8S ribosomal RNA", at positions 50 to 154 of the family's 154-position model. The record is from RNAcentral. Lineage: Eukaryota; Fungi.